UACGGAGGGCGCAAGCGUUGUUCGGAAUCACUGGGCGUAAAGCGCGUGUAGGCGGCCGGGCAAGUCGGAUGUGAAAGCCCGGGGCUCAACCCCGGAACUGCCUUUAAGACUGCAUCGCUUGAAUCCGGGAGAGGUGAGUGGAAUUCCGAGUGUAGAGGUGAAAUUCGUAGAUAUUCGGAAGAACACCAGUGGCGAAGGCGGCUCACUGGACCGGCAUUGACGCUGAGGUGCGAAAGCGUGGGGAGCAAACAGG
Molecule: ribosomal RNA, 253 nt
Filed under: uncultured bacterium
Lineage: Bacteria
Description: partial 16S ribosomal RNA
Rfam family: Bacterial small subunit ribosomal RNA
Source: RNAcentral